CCUACGGGAGGCAGCAGUGAGGAAUAUUGGUCAAUGGACGAGAGUCUGAACCAGCCAAGCCGCGUGAAGGAUGAAUGCUCUAUGGGUUGUAAACUUCUUUUGUAUGGGAAUAAAAUGUUCCACGUGUGGGAUGUUGUAUGUACCAGAUGAAUAAGGAUCGGCUAACUCCGUGCCAGCAGCCGCGGUAAUACGGAGGGUCCGAGCGUUAUCCGGAUUUAUUGGGUUUAAAGGGAGCGUAGGUGGAUUGUUAAGUCAGUUGUGAAAGUUUGCGGCUCAACCGUAAGAUUGCAGUUGAAACUGGCAGUCUUGAGUACAGGAGAGGUGAGCGGAAUUCGUGGUGUAGCGGUGAAAUGCUUAGAUAUCACGAAGAACUCCGAUUGCGAAGGCAGCUCACUGGACUGCAACUGACGCUGAGGCUCGAAAGUGUGGGUAUCAAACAGGAUUAGAUACCCGUGUAGUC
This 460-nucleotide ribosomal RNA is filed under the name uncultured bacterium. RNAcentral's name for it is "partial 16S ribosomal RNA". It matches the Rfam family "Bacterial small subunit ribosomal RNA", at positions 338 to 795 of the family's 1533-position model. The record is from RNAcentral.